This is a long non-coding RNA of Gopherus evgoodei (Goodes thornscrub tortoise), 128 nucleotides long. RefSeq lists it as uncharacterized. NCBI's taxonomy places the organism in Eukaryota, Metazoa, Chordata, Testudines, Testudinidae. The record is from RefSeq and is a predicted model, not a curated record. The transcript has 3 exons.
UAUCCUGAGGGGGUGGAGAGGCUCCUUCUUUAGCCAUCUGAAAACCACCUGGAGGGGUCUUCCAGGGACUUAAAUAGACUCUCUUGUGGAUGGAGACCCCUUCUUCCCCCUGCUAUGCAAACUCCAGG